RNAcentral lists this ribosomal RNA (258 nucleotides) under uncultured bacterium. RNAcentral's name for it is "partial 16S ribosomal RNA". It matches the Rfam family "Bacterial small subunit ribosomal RNA", at positions 96 to 354 of the family's 1533-position model. The record is from RNAcentral.
UGGCGGACGGGUGAGUAACGCGUGGAAAACCUGCCGUAUACUGGGGGAUAACACUUAGAAAUAGGUGCUAAUACCGCAUAAGCGCACAGCUUCGCAUGAAGCGGUGUGAAAAACUCUGGUGGUAUACGAUGGUUCCGCGUCUGAUUAGCUAGUUGGUGGGGUAAUGGCCUACCAAGGCAACGACCAGUAGCCGGCCUGAGAGGGUGAACGGCCACAUUGGGACUGAGACACGGCCCAAACUCCUACGGAAGGCAGCAG